Molecule: long non-coding RNA, 1765 nt
Filed under: Homo sapiens (human)
Lineage: Eukaryota; Metazoa; Chordata; Mammalia; Primates; Hominidae
Description: HSALNT0294003
Source: RNAcentral
CAGGGCAGACGGGGCGGGCGGGGCCCUUAGAAGUUCCGCCCAGAAGCUCCUGCUCAGUAACUACAGACGCGAAGCUCAGCCUCUCGGUUUGGGAAUUUUCUUGGAGGCCGAGGCCCUGCGCCUCUGUCUGCACCCAAGGCGACCGCCCAGCUUACCCCCGGCUCUUCUGAGCACAGGGAGGCCUCCCAGCAAAGCCUGAACCCUCUAAGUUUAGCUGCAGGCUUCGAACCCCGACCGUCCCCGCCGAGCCUUGGGCUGCUGAGGUGGGGAUGAACUGGGCGAAAGACACUUGGGAGUUAGGAAGAAACAAACAAGCAGGGAAGUGACCAGGAGACAAGAUGGGCGUCCACAGAAUGAAUACAGGAAUGUCUGUCUGCCUGUCUGUGUAUACUCUGUGAAGGAAUAUACCAACAUUACAUGCUGACCCAAGGAUAGCCAGUACGCCUUCUGCAAGAGGAAAGUUUGUGUUUCAAAAUCCAUCAAGUGAAAGAGAACAGAAAAAUUCAGAGGGCGUCAUUCACGGAAGGAUUCAAAGCUUUUAGAUAAAGUGUACAACGUGGAGGGUGAAAGAAUGAGCUGGAAGCAGGCAUCAUAAAGCACCAUCGUACUGCAAAGAGCAGGAUUUAAAAGCUAGCACCACCACUUGCUAGCUAGGGAAACUUGGGUAUCAUUUGAGGAUAUGCUGCAGCAAAAUGAGUGAAUAAACAAGAAAGUCAAAGACAUGGGAUUGAGGAAACAGUGACUUCAGCCCAAGAUUGGAAUGACAGGGAGCCCCAGGCCACUGGGCAGCAGCACAGACAGCAAUCUGUUCAGACUGCAGCAGAACAGCAAACUCCUGGAGCAGAAAUCCAAAGGCCACAGCUUUACUUUGGAAUAAAGAAGGAGGAAGAUACCAAGGCCUACAAUUUCCUGCUAGAGAACUGGUGAAUCACUUAUUGGUUAAAAGUUCUAAGACAGAUAAAUGCAUACAUGAUGAUGCAGCUGACAGACUUUUGUGCAGCCAGAUGGCAACUGGCAAGGCCACUACCCUUGGCUCCAAGCUCCAGCCCCAACAGCAUCAAUGCAGGAUAAGUUUCCUGCUCCAAUCAGCUGGGAAUGACUUCCAGAUCUACUGGCUUUAACAAACUCCAUAUCCUUAAAACAAUUCGAAUGGAUCAUGAUAUGAAGAUUUAUUAUCUUGGGAGGCUUCAGUUUUUAAAGUACGUUGACAUGCACUAUUGCACUUGAUUCUUGUAACAAAUUUGUAAGAAAACAAGGGUAGCUAUUAUUAGUCCCUCUUUAUCAUUAUUAUGAAAACAUUUCUAAAUAGAAAAAUUGAGGACCAUAAAUGUAUACGGAAAAUUUGUUUUUAAAAGAAAUACCCAAGUGAAAGCACAAUGUUCUCAAGAUCCAGGUCAAGUUUUCUUGUAUAGAAGGAAUAAGUUUAACAUAAAAACCAUAAGUUUCUAUGAAUAUAUCUUGUUAAUAAAUUUAAUGAUGUGACUAAUUCCCAAGCUCUAUGUUACUUAGAGAACUAUACUUAGGAUACUGUGUAUUCAUCCAUACAAUAAAGUUUUUUUACCCAACAAUUUCAGAUUUCUCACAUCUUUAUUGAGAAGUUCACAAGUAAUGAAACUUCAUUAGGAUAAAAAAUGAGAGGUACAGCAAAGUUUUCUCUCUAAAAAUUACUGGUGUGCAAUAAAUUUUUCUCUACAAUAUGAUCCCAAAUCUUUAAAAGUAAAAUAUAUCAACUAAUAUUAGGUUUGGUAUCAGAAAAUUUCAUUGU